RNAcentral lists this ribosomal RNA (1554 nucleotides) under Triticum aestivum (bread wheat). RNAcentral's name for it is "partial small subunit ribosomal RNA". The record is from RNAcentral. Lineage: Eukaryota; Viridiplantae; Streptophyta; Magnoliopsida; Poales; Poaceae.
AUGCUGCUACAAGAGUACUUGCCUCAACAAUGGCAGCUCCUCCUCCUCCUUGCUAUGCUACCUCUCCUCUCCAUUUUCAUACUUGUAGGAGCAGGAUGGCGAAGGGGCAGCAGCACUAGGUACCACCUCCCUCCGCACCCGCCGGGGCUGCCCAUCCUCGGCAACCUGCACCGGAUGGGUGCUCUCCCACACCAGAGCCUCCGGGAGAUGGCGCGGCAGCACGGGCCCGUGAUGAUGCUGCGGCUGGGGACGGUGCCCACGUUGGUGGUGUCGUCGGCUGACGCGGCGCGGGACGUGCUCAAGACGCACGACGCCGACUGCUGCAGUCGCCCGGACACGCCAGGGCCCAGGCGGUUGUCAUACCAGCACAAUGACGUGGCCUUCAGCCCCUACAGUGAACAAUGGCGAGAGCGGCGCAAGCUCCUGGUCGUCGAGUUCCUCAGCAAGCGCCGCAUCCAGGCCACCUGGUAUGCCAGGGAGGCUGAGGUGGGUAAACUGGUGAGCGGACUAGCAGUAGCUAGCGUUAAUGGACAGGGACCAGUAUGUCUGGAGGAUCACGUCUUCGGGUACAUGGACGGCUUCGUCGGCACGGUGGCGUUCGGUAACAUGUACGGCACAGAGCACUUUGCGCACAAGGAGCACUUCCACCACGUGAUUGACGAGGCCAUGAUGGUGAGGUCUAGCUUCUCCGCCGAGGACUACUUCCCCAACGCCCUUGGCCGCCUCGUUGACCGCCUCACCGGCGUAGCCUCCCUCCGCGAGAGGGUGUUCAAGGAGUUCGAUGCCUUCUUUGAGAUGAUGCUUGGCCAGGCCAAGCCCGACAAUGACGGCUGUGUCGGCCUCAUCGACGUCCUCAUCGGCCUCAUGAAGGAGAAGCACCAAGGCCCUUUCAGGGUCAGCAGAGACGUCGUCAAGGCGCUACUAACGAACACAUUUAUCGGUGCCGUGGACACAGGCGCGGUGACCAUUAUUUGGGCAAUGGCGGAGCUGGUUCGGAACCCACAUGUGCUGAACAAGGUGCAAAACGAGAUCAGAACUAUGGCGGGCAACAAAGAGAGGGUGCAGCAAGACGAUGUGGCCAAGCUGGAGUAUCUCAAGAUGGUGGUCAUGGAGACAUUGCGCCUGCACCCGGCGUUGCCCCUUCUUGUGCCGAGGGAGACCAUGCGGCACAUCACCGUCUCUGGUUACGAUGUUCCCGCAAAGACGAGGAUCUUGGUGAACGCAUGGGCCAUUGGGAGGGACCCAACCAACUGGGAAAACCCCGAGGAGUUCAUCCCGGAAAGAUUCGAGGGCGAGGAGGAUGUGAACUUCAACCGGGCACAGUUUGAAUUCCUACCCUUCGGUGCUGGACGUAGGAUGUGCCCCGGGAUAGACAUGGGGUUAGCCACCACAGAGUUCACCCUGGCAAACUUGCUCUACUGCUUCGACUGGGAGCUCCCGGAGGGGCUGAGAAGUGAGGACAUGAGCAUGGAAGAGGCAGGAGGACUCACCAUCCAUAAGAAGAUGCCGCUCUUGCUGGUGCCGACAAGAUACAAGUGUGGUAACGCUAGCUGA